RNAcentral lists this ribosomal RNA (447 nucleotides) under uncultured bacterium. Its description in RNAcentral is "bacterial SSU rRNA". It matches the Rfam family "Bacterial small subunit ribosomal RNA", at positions 331 to 794 of the family's 1533-position model. The record is from RNAcentral.
CCAGACUCCUACGGGAGGCAGCAGUGGGGAAUAUUGCACAAUGGGGGAAACCCUGAUGCAGCAACGCCGCGUGAGUGAAGAAGUAUUUCGAUAUGUAAAGCUCUAUCAGCAGGGAAGAAGAUGACGGUACCUGAGUAAGAAGCCCCGGCUAACUACGUGCCAGCAGCCGCGGUAAUACGGAGGAUGCGAGCGUUAUCCGGAUUUAUUGGGUUUAAAGGGUGCGCAGGCGGUCUGUUAAGUCAGCGGUCAAAGGCCGGGGCCCCCCCCCCGGCCCGCCGUUGAAACUGGCAGUCUCGAGUUGGAGAGAAGUAUGCGGAAUGCGCGGUGUAGCGGUGAAAUGCAUAGAUAUCGCGCAGAACUCCGAUUGCGAAGGCAGCAUGCCGGCUCCGCACUGACGCUGAGGCACGAAAGCGUGGGUAUCGAACAGGAUUAGAUACCCUAGUAAGG